Molecule: long non-coding RNA, 611 nt
Organism: Pezoporus flaviventris
Lineage: Eukaryota; Metazoa; Chordata; Aves; Psittaciformes; Psittacidae
Exons: 3
Source: RefSeq, a predicted model, not a curated record
ACAAUUCUUACUUCAAACGUCCAGCACCAUAAAGCAUUUCAGGUGGCCCUAUAAAGCAAUCGAGAUAACGGAAAGCAGCCAAGACCAGGCAGAACAAAAGCUAUGAUGUGAGAGAGGCAGUCUGAAGCCUUGUGCAAGUCAGAACAGGAAAAGCUUAUCGGCAAGCCCAACCAGCUUUACUGACCUGGAGCCGGGUGACAGUGAGACAACUUGAUUAUCAUCAUCAGGAACAGUAUUGCCACAGCGGCUACCUGUGGGAAUCCUGCCCGGGCGUGAGACGCUGAUCACAGCUUUUUCCCACUGAUCUGGCAACUGGGGAAUAAAAAGGGUGAUCACCAUCAAGCAAUGGCUGUGUAGGCCAGCAGCAGCCCCAUCUGCAGCAUGGCAUCAGCAGGGCUUUAGUGACCUCCUCUCCCCCCACCUCUGGAUACUGCAUCUUUCAUUGCAGUCAAUUGCUGUCAAGCUCUAGAUAAGGAGCUGGGUUUUUUUUCUCUUUCCCUUCACCCUGCAAAUUAUCCUUAGGCAAAACCAAACUGCUUGCAAACUCCUGGCUGCCAGCAUUCAACAUCUAAGACACACAAUUUGUCUCCUAAGGUACAUAAGAUAGUUUU